UAAUACAGAGGGUGCGAGCGUUAAUCGGAAUUACUGGGCGUAAAGCGCGCGUAGGCGGCUUUUCAAGUCGAUUGUGAAAUCCCCGGGCUUAACCUGGGAACUGCAGUCGAGACUGUCUAGCUAGAGUAUGGGAGAGGGAAGUGGAAUUUCAGGUGUAGCGGUGAAAUGCGUAGAUAUCUGAAGGAACAUCAGUGGCGAAAGCGACUUCCUGGACCAAUACUGACGCUCAUGUGCGAAAGCGUGGGGAGCAAACAGGAUUAGAUACCCUGGUAGUCCACGCCAUAAACGAUGAGAACUGGAUGUCGGAGGGGUCUGCCCUUCGGUGUCGUAGCUAACGCGUUAAGUUCUCCGCCUGGGGAGUACGGCCGCAAGGUUG
Molecule: ribosomal RNA, 376 nt
Filed under: uncultured bacterium
Lineage: Bacteria
Description: bacterial SSU rRNA
Rfam family: Bacterial small subunit ribosomal RNA
Source: RNAcentral